AGGAGAUGCCGGGUACUGAAUCAGUUUAGAGAGUGUCACGUAACCGUACCAGGAGAUAAGAAGGCACGUAUGUCACUUAACAUGUGAACUUCUUAUAAUAUCAUCUCCAUUAUAUAUGAAAGCCUAUUUUACAGAAUAAAAUCCAUAUUUAUUACAAGUAGAGGGACAGCUCUACAGUUGAAGAAUGAGGCCAGGCUAAUAGGAGGCAGAAAAGUGUGAGUACAUGUGCCAGGGGCAUCCCUUAUGUCGUUGUUUUUGUUAAUCUUGUUGCUGUACAGACGUCUGCGUCAUCUACGCCACUUCGGUGUUCCUGUUUGUGCACUAGAAAGACUCUGAUUCUGUUCUGUUCAGCUUGAGUCUCCGGAAAUUUCCAGUUAAGACAUCUCCUACAAGUAUCACAUCGAUUCCUUAGUGGAACAUUACGUACAAGUUCCCUGAUCUAUUAUCAUUCAGGUGACUGGAAAUACUUCCUCCACAGGCUCAAAGUUCUCAAAGCUUUCACAGUCUGAGGUGAAAUAACCUCUUACUGAAUUCUUUUCUCUCACUCUUGUUCCAGUUUUAAAGUAUUGCUGUUUGAUCAUCUCUGCAGGUAUUAUCAAAGGUGUAAAUGAAUGUCGAAGCAGAUGUUGCAUCAGGCUUUUUAAAUCUCUAACAUACCUGCGUCUACUUAAAGAUAAAUCCGGCAGCUGAACUGACUUUACGUGUUUGUUUGGCAGCUUUUUUUGUUUUGUUUUCAUCUUAAAAAAGAAAGUUAGCUUAUCUCAACACAAAGAUGAAGAUUGAAAUCAUUAGAUUAUCCUCUUUUUAAAGAAAUCCAGUCCAUCUUUUUACAAAUCCAUCAGUUUUUCCACUGAUUCACACAUUGCAAACUCAUUUAUUACAGGUGACCCACCGCUCUCUCCUGCAGAUAAGAGAGGAAGUGAUAAAUCUACUUUGUGUGAGAUUGUUAUCAUUACCAGCAAAAAGUUGUGACAUUGAAAAUCAGAUCAAAGAUAAUCAUAUACAGAGCAGACGAGAGAAGAUAAAACCGUUUUUAGUGUCUGACAUUUAAAGCGUGUGACUUUAACUUGAUGAUGCAGAGGAAAGUUUCGACUUGCAGACGUUUACUGUUGGUAUAAAACUGCGUCUGAGAUUGCACUUGAAACGUCAGUAAAACAAGCUGUGAAGUGACAGCUGUCAGAUGAUUUCUAGUACACAGAUGGUUCAGUGAGGCAGAGAAGUACUCAAGGUGUCUUCAAACAGACAUGACGUGCCACAAUAAAGGGUUUACGGAGCUCCGGAGGUGGAUACGGCAUUGUUUGAGGAGAGCUUUUGAGUGAUGGUGUUAACUUCCAGAAACAUUAAAACUGGUAAAUAUGAGCAUGUGUAGAUUUUGCUAUAUAUCCGUCGUAUAAAAAGACCUUUCUAUAAACCUCAAAUCUCACCCACGUAAGAUGUCAAAGUAAAGAUGCCGCAUACUUCUGAAGAUGCUGCUCCCGGUAUCACACUUAUCUACGUUUGGUGCAAUCUCGCUUAAUUUUUAUUUGAACAUGACCUUUCAGCUUAUAGAGAACAUCACAAUGAGAAAGAUUGACGUCACUCACUCGUAUAAAAAUAGAUAAAAUGUGAUAGAGAGCAGGAAAUUAUAAAAAUACCCCUAUAGAGAUGUGAAUAGCUCUCCCCUUCUCCUGGAAAUUCACAUCACUCCGCUCAUACAAGUGCUCCUCUUGGCUCCUCUGAGCACAAAUUUGGGUCUUACUCACAAUUUCAGACAUAAGAGAGAUAUGAGAAGGUUUGGAAAAGCUUUUUGGGGAUCAAGGAGGAAGAAGAUCACAAAAUACAGAAAAUCCUUCGGCGCCAACAACUUUCACGAUGACUAUAACGGGUACCUCUCUCAAUGUAAACACUAAAUAGACAUAUGUUCAUAUAGUUUUCUUGUCUUUGCAACCACUCCAAUCACUUUUGUCACAUUAACUGAUGGCAGAGAGGAUGGGACAUAGGAGGGGACAUUAACAUGCUGCUGACUGCGCCACCAGGAGUGAGUUUGAGAUCCUCUGAAGAUCGAUUAGACAUUAGACUGCAGCAGCCGGGAUCCUUCCAAUACAACAACAGAGCUUUUGCCUCUCCAGGUUACUAAUCAAUCCAACAUUCAUACUUUCUAGCCAGUUCUGUAACACAUGAUCUACCAGAGGUAGUAAACUUCAAAAUAAAAGCAUAGUUUGACAAUGCAAGAAUCAAAGCAACCUAAACGAAGUCUGAAAAAUACCAAAAUAAAAGCAUGACAAACAAUCUUUUAAUUGGGCAAUGUUGUCUCCAAGAAGUUUCAUUUAAGGAACAGAUGAUAAAUCAUGAGUCUGGAUAUGAUGGUGGCAUUUAAAGUAAUCGCAUCAAUCAGUUAAGAUUAUGAAGUUUCUUAUUACAGCCAUGAUAACAGUGAGGUGAAAAUCUGACAUCGUGAUAUCUCUAAUUCCAAUAUGUGAAUUGAAAAACCUAAAAAAUAAACUUGAUCUGCUUGUGGCGAGAAAAAAAACCUGCCAGCGCAACAAGUGAGAUUUUUUCCAUGUCAAGAAACUCCAGAAGCAUAAUCUGCUUCCUGCAGUGGCAGCUAUUUUUACUCAUAUUACACUGAGUUCUCCUUUUUGCUUUUAAUUUCUUGAGACCAGAUGCUAUGACAAGAACUCGCCUUAUAAUAUGGCUUGCAGAAGUUGCAUUUUGCUGCAGUCAUAAAGGAGAAACGAUCUGAGUCAUCUACGUUUGUUCAAGUGACGUACACAUAAUAGCUGCAAAGCAUUCUUCAGAUUCACAGCGUUUACUUCGCUUUAUUCCCUCUUUAACAGAUGCUUUGAUACACAAACAUAGAAAACACAGAUUCACAUUGAGUUGAAUGAAUUCCGCCUUAAGGUAAAUACUAAGCAGGUUGGAUUCAGGUGCAGAUUAUGUGGGGCUCAGUUUAAAUCUCAAUACAUCCCUGCAGACCCUCUGUUCCUUUAAAAAAAACACACGUUCCCAUAAAUUCUUAGGUCAAGGGAAACUCAUUUGAAAUGCAUCAGAUCUCAUAAUUCUUCCUCUUUAAUGAAUGAACUGUUGUGCCCAGAUAAAAAGCCGAGGAUAAGAUGGGUCGGUUUUACAGCGCAGUGUGCAUAACUUGACAUAGAUGAAUUUAACAGCUCCUCAUAAAUCAGGACAGUGUGCACCAGUUGUGCUGAACAUUACAACAGGGAGCUGUGCAUGGAUGCUCAGCACUCACAGAUUGGAAGCAUACACAAUUGUGCUGUUAAACAUCAAGGCCUUUGCAUUUAGUUAAAGGGGACGGACAUAUAAAUGUUUAAAGCAGGACUAUAAAUUAAGUACAGAGAGCCGUUUAAAGAGAGACAGCUCUGAGUGCCUGUGCAUGGGUGUUUGGGGAUUUGGGCUAUUAUUGGAAAUGUUGCUGUUUAGUUAGCUUUGAUAUGCUUUUAUCAGUUUUUCUUUGCAUUUUUAAGUCCUUCACUUGAAAAGCUGUGCUGAAAGAGAAAAGUUUGAGUAAAUCUCCAUCACUGCGUGGAAAAAUGUUCCCUUCAGGGCGGAUUUGCUUCUGUCGCCUCUGCAGCUUACAGUGUUGAUUUGCUGACCCUUGCUGCGUACACUGAUUACAUUUGCUAUGUUGUGUUGAUCCACAUUAAUUUCCCUUCAUUAGACAGAAGCUGGCACAAAUAGGAUCAAGUUAAUGGGAAAUACAGAGGUUGAGUCAUUUGAUUACCUGUGUACGACUUCUUGUAGUCUAUUUACCAACUGAAGAGGCUGAAAUAAACAACUAUCACCUUCACCUGCUGUCACCUCAUGUUAGUAUUUCUCUAUCUUUGCUUAUGACUUCACACAGAUUUGACUCCUCUUUCAAGAAAACACAUGGUUUCAUGUAUCACACUUUCAUUUUAAGUAAUACUCACCCUCUGUUUUGUUUGUUUUCUGAGCUCUCCAGACAAAAGGUUGACUUGUUGCUCAAAAUGGCCUCUUAAGCCCCGCCCACAGGAAGAGGAAGAGGAAGAGGGAGA
Molecule: long non-coding RNA, 4010 nt
Filed under: Xyrichtys novacula (pearly razorfish)
Lineage: Eukaryota; Metazoa; Chordata; Actinopteri; Labriformes; Labridae
Source: RNAcentral